GAGAAGGCUUGCUCUUCACUCUGCUGCUGGCUGUGGAGUUUGUCCAGAGAUGCCUCAGCACGGCCAUCUCCAGCCUGAGAGAGACUGUCGCUGUGAACAGGAAGAGGCUCGUGGCGAUCCUCUUGGUGAUGAGCCUGGCUGCUCUCGCUGCUGCCUGCUGGGGAAUCGUGCAGCUGACGUGGAGGCAGCGGGCAGAGGAUGUGCUGCAGAUUGGCUUUUCUGGUGGCCGCGUGGAACAAUCUCCCUGUCUGAGGAACGAGGUCGUGUGCCUGGCUGAUGAGAUGGACACCAUGAAGAAAGCGAUGCUGCAGCCGGACGAUUUCCCGACCUGCUGCUGGCCCUUCCAAGAGUCUGGGAGCGAGGUGCUGAGCUGGUUACCGGCACAAAUACCUCUGCAGGCCGUCAGUGUGCAGCAGAGCUCCGAGAGAGCCUCUCCGCUGGGGACUGCCAUCAGCGCCCGCCGAGAUGUUGCUGUCUGUGGCCUGGAUGAGGAAGGCGAGGAGGCAACUCUGCUGGGGACGUGGAGCUGCAGCAGGCAGGAGAAGCCCCACCAGAGCUUGCCUCUGCAGAAUGGGAUCCCCGGCGCCUUUCAGCUCACAAAUCCUGGCAAUUGGAGCAGCUCGGGAACCCCAGCACAGAGGCUGAUAGAUCGGGUGCUGGCGAUGGGGAAGAUGGUGGGAAGAUGGUGGGCGUCAUUAGACCUGUUUUCUUCAAUAAAAUUUCCCGUGUAAAAAGGAGACUCAGGCCAGAGGGAUGCGGCUGUUGGUCUGGUGCAGAGCAAGGUGGUCUCAGAGGCCCUCUCCGAGCUGCCAGCUCCUGCCUUUCGCAGGCAGAGGCCUUCCUCAGGCUUUGCGCUUUCAUCCACCAAGGGCAUCUUUCCUGACCCGGCAAAAGGAGACGACGCUCCUGAAGCCUUUCCCUGCCUCAGGUCCUUGGCAAAAUCCUUUGGCACCAGGGUCGCCUCUGGCCCCUGUAAGGAGUCGUCGGAGCCUGUCAGCAUCUGGGGCUCCUGAUGGCCAGGCUCUGGCCCAUUCCCUUCAGGGAACACGUUGGAUCUGGGGACUGGGUCUAGUGGGGACCCACAUGGUGCGGCCACGUCUGGGACAUGCCUCCAGGAAAGGAUGGAGAUUCUCCUUUGCCCUCCUUUUGUUGCUACUCUAUCUAGACAGACAUUUUCUGGUGCUUUUUACAGCAGUAGCCAGAUGAAGUUCUGUCUGGGCUUUGGCGCUUCUCAUUUUCUCUCUGCGUAACCUCAGGAGUCCUUCAAAGCCCGGAAGCUCUCCUUUUGUCCCCUCCCCUGACUGCCAGCCAAAGCUCUCUGGUCAGCCAGGCCGGUCUUCUUCCCUGCCACCUUGUCUUUGGGCACAUGGCCAUAGCCUGCUCCCGUGCCAUGAAGAUCUCCUUGUGGAAGAAUAUCCAGCCUUCCUGAUCCUUUGCCCUUUGGAAAUAAUUAGUAAUUAUGCCUGUUCUAAAGGACAUGAAAUGAAUAUUUGAGAAUUUUGUGUAAGUUUUAUGUUGUAGUCUGUCAAAAUGUUAAAAUCUUUAACAUGUAAGGGAGGAAUUCUGUAUAAAUUUUUGAUAUUAUUAUAGAAAAAGAAAAG
Molecule: long non-coding RNA, 1601 nt
Filed under: Calidris pugnax (ruff)
Lineage: Eukaryota; Metazoa; Chordata; Aves; Charadriiformes; Scolopacidae
Description: lncRNA (ENSCPUG00000015189.1)
Source: RNAcentral